UGUCCGUGGUUCUGGUUGAGCCGGCUGC
RNAcentral lists this small RNA (28 nucleotides) under Bombyx mori (domestic silkworm). Its description in RNAcentral is "ovarian small RNA-3881". Lineage: Eukaryota; Metazoa; Arthropoda; Insecta; Lepidoptera; Bombycidae. The record is from RNAcentral.